AGAGUUUGAUCCUGGCUCAGGAUGAACGCUAGCGGCAGGCCUAAUACAUGCAAGUCGAGGGGCAGCACGGUAGCAAUACUGGUGGCGACCGGCGCACGAGUGCGUAACACGUAUACAAUCUGCCUUUAACAGGGGGAUAGCCCGGAGAAAUCCGGAUUAAUACCCCAUAACAAUUUUUACGGCAUCGUAGAGAUUUGAAAGCUCCGGCGGUUAGAGAUGAGUAUGCGCCUGAUUAGCUAGUUGGUGAGGUAACGGCUCACCAAGGCGACGAUCAGUAGGGGAUCUGAGAGGAUUAACCCCCACACGGAUACUGAGACACGGAUCCGACUCCUACGGGAGGCAGCAGUAAGGAAUAUUGGACAAUGCCCGCAAGGGUGAUCCAGCCAUGCCGCGUGCAGGAAGACGGCCCUAUGGGUUGUAAACUGCUUUUACACCGGAGAAAACCCCGCUACGUGUAGUGGGCUGAUAGUAUGGUGAGAAUAAGCAUCGGCUAACUUCGUGCCAGCAGCCGCGGUAAGACGAAGGAUGCAAGCGUUAUCCGGAUUCAUUGGGUUUAAAGGGAGCGUAGGUGGCCUUAUAAGUCAGUGGUGAAAUCUCUGGGCUUAACCCAGAAAUUGCCAUUGAUACUGUAGGGCUUGAGUACAGUUGCUGUGGGCGGAAUAUGACAUGUAGUGGUGAAAUACAUAGAGAUGUCAUAGAACACCGAUUGCGAAGGCAGCUCACAAAACUGUAACUGACACUGAGGCUCGAAAGUGUGGGGAUCAAACAGGAUUAGAUACCCUGGUAGUCG
RNAcentral lists this ribosomal RNA (790 nucleotides) under uncultured bacterium. Its description in RNAcentral is "bacterial SSU rRNA". It matches the Rfam family "Bacterial small subunit ribosomal RNA", at positions 8 to 796 of the family's 1533-position model. The record is from RNAcentral.